UGGGGAAUAUUGCACAAUGGAGGGAACUCUGAUGCAGCGACGCCGCGUGAACGAAGAAGGCUUUCGAGUCGUAAAGUUCUUUUAUAUGGGAAGAUAAUGACGGUACCAUAAGAAAAAGCCCCGGCUAACUACGUGCCAGCAGCCGCGGUAAUACGUAGGGGGCUAGCGUUAUCCGGAAUCACUGGGCGUAAAGGGUUCGCAGGCGGAAAUGCAAGUCAGGUGUAAAAGGCAGUAGCUUAACUACUGUAAGCAUUUGAAACUGCAUAUCUUGAGAAGAGUAGAGGUAAGUGGAAUUUUUAGUGUAGCGGUGAAAUGCGUAGAUAUUAAAAAGAAUACCGGUGGCGAAGGCGACUUACUGGGCUCAUUCUGACGCUGAGGAACGAAAGCGUGGGUAGCAAACAGG
This 403-nucleotide ribosomal RNA is filed under the name bacterium. RNAcentral's name for it is "partial 16S ribosomal RNA". It matches the Rfam family "Bacterial small subunit ribosomal RNA", at positions 355 to 776 of the family's 1533-position model. The record is from RNAcentral. RNAcentral also lists the same sequence under 1 other name.